UAGGGAAUCUUCGGCAAUGGGGGCAACCCUGACCGAGCAACGCCGCGUGAGUGAAGAAGGUUUUCGGAUCGUAAAGCUCUGUUGUAAGUCAAGAACGAGUGUGAGAGUGGAAAGUUCACACUGUGACGGUAACUUACCAGAAAGGGACGGCUAACUACGUGCCAGCAGCCGCGGUAAUACGUAGGUCCCGAGCGUUAUCCGGAUUUAUUGGGCGUAAAGCGAGCGCAGGCGGUUAGAUAAGUCUGAAGUUAAAGGCUGUGGCUUAACCAUAGUACGCUUUGGAAACUGUUUAACUUGAGUGCAGAAGGGGAGAGUGGAAUUCCAUGUGUAGCGGUGAAAUGCGUAGAUAUAUGGAGGAACACCGGUGGCGAAAGCGGCUCUCUGGUCUGUAACUGACGCUGAGGCUCGAAAGCGUGGGGAGCAAACAGGAUUAGAUACCCUGGUAGUCCACGCCGUAACGAUGAGUGCUAGGUGUUGGGUCCUUUCCGGGACUCAGUGCCGCAGCUAACGCAUUAAGCACUCCGCCUGGGGAGUACGACCGCAAGGUU
Molecule: ribosomal RNA, 548 nt
Filed under: uncultured bacterium
Lineage: Bacteria
Description: bacterial SSU rRNA
Rfam family: Bacterial small subunit ribosomal RNA
Source: RNAcentral